This is a non-coding RNA of Otolemur garnettii (small-eared galago), 74 nucleotides long. The record is from Rfam. NCBI's taxonomy places the organism in Eukaryota, Metazoa, Chordata, Mammalia, Primates, Galagidae.
CGCCUGGUGGCUUAAAGGAGUAGGGCGCUGGCCUUAUAUGCCAGAGGUGGCGGGUUCAAGUCCAGCCCCGGCCA